GUGGGGCUACUACUUACUAGCAGCACUUCAGCGAUAUCAUUAACAAAACGCACGUGUCUCAAGCGCAGUCACCACCGAGGCUGCCCCACUUCUACCGCUUCUGCUCAAGGCCGAGCAACCUCCGUUAACCUGUAGAAUGAAAUAAAAAGUAUCAAAUUUGGA
This is a long non-coding RNA of Portunus trituberculatus (swimming crab), 162 nucleotides long. RefSeq lists it as uncharacterized. The record is from RefSeq and is a predicted model, not a curated record. The transcript has 2 exons. Lineage: Eukaryota; Metazoa; Arthropoda; Malacostraca; Decapoda; Portunidae.